RNAcentral lists this ribosomal RNA (460 nucleotides) under uncultured bacterium. Its description in RNAcentral is "partial 16S ribosomal RNA". It matches the Rfam family "Bacterial small subunit ribosomal RNA", at positions 338 to 795 of the family's 1533-position model. The record is from RNAcentral.
CCUACGGGCGGCAGCAGUGAGGAAUAUUGGUCAAUGGGCGCGAGCCUGAACCAGCCAAGUCGCGUGAAGGAUGACUGCCCUACGGGUUGUAAACUUCUUUUAUAAGGGAAUAAAGUGAGGGACGUGUGCCUUUUUGUAUGUACUUUAUGAAUAAGGAUCGGCUAACUCCGUGCCAGCAGCCGCGGUAAUACGGAGGAUCCGAGCGUUAUCCGGAUUUAUUGGGUUUAAAGGGUGCGUAGAUGGGUUGUUAAGUCAGUUGUGAAAGUUUGCGGCUCAACCGUAAAAUUGCAAUUGAUACUGGCAGCCUUGAGUACAGUUGAGGUAGGCGGAAUGCGUGGGGUAGCGGUGAAAGGCUUAGAUAUCACGAAGAACUCCGAUUGCGAAGGCAGCUUACUAACCUGGCACUGAGCUGGAUGACGGAAGGUGUGGGUACAAAACAGGAUUAGAAACCCUAGUAGUC